RNAcentral lists this ribosomal RNA (293 nucleotides) under uncultured bacterium. RNAcentral's name for it is "partial 16S ribosomal RNA". It matches the Rfam family "Bacterial small subunit ribosomal RNA", at positions 505 to 796 of the family's 1533-position model. The record is from RNAcentral.
GUGCCAGCCGCCGCGGUAAGACGUAGGGGGCAAGCGUUAUCCGGAUUCACUGGGCGUAAAGGGCGUGUAGGCGGUUACGUAAGUCCGGCGUGAAAAUUCACGGCUUAACCGUGAACGUGCGUCGGAUACUGCGUUGACUUGAGGGCGGUAGAGGUAGAUGGAACUAGCGGUGUAGCGGUGAAAUGCACAGAUAUCGCUAGGAACGCCGGUGGCGAAGGCGAUCUGCUGGGCCGUUCCUGACGCUGAGGCGCGAAAGCUAGGGGAGCGAACCGGAUUAGAAACCCCCGUAGUCC